This 483-nucleotide ribosomal RNA is filed under the name Triticum aestivum (bread wheat). RNAcentral describes it as "partial small subunit ribosomal RNA". Lineage: Eukaryota; Viridiplantae; Streptophyta; Magnoliopsida; Poales; Poaceae. The record is from RNAcentral.
AUGCUCGCCCAUGCCAUCAACUUGUGCCAGACACAGACUCCACAUCAGCUUGUGCCAGACACGGACCACCCUCCUUUGCCACAUAAUAGUCAUCGAGCGCUCUAUGGAAGCAUCCAAUCUCGCUGUUCUACCAACUUCACCGGAACACCGACCACCGGUGCUCCACCUCAGAUAGAUCCGCUUAUGGAUUUAAGUUUUCAUUCACCAACUUCAAAUACUCAAUUACCCGGAGAUGAGGAUCAUUCUGCAGCUCAUGUCCUUAUCAAACGUGCUUCUCCUUUAAACGAUAGCUUGGUCUCCGUGCAUGCUAUCCGAUUAUCCGAAGCAAAACUAAUCCUUUGCACCCCAGCGAUGGAUAAAGACGUGGAGCCGGGUCUGUUUUCCUGGGGACAACCAAUCCUUGAGGAGGCCGAAAGAUUUGAGGGAAGUCGCACACAACGUGUGAUCAUUUCCACCGUCCAAAUGAAUUGUUAUAUUCAAUAA